RNAcentral lists this unclassified non-coding RNA (311 nucleotides) under Bombus terrestris (buff-tailed bumblebee). RNAcentral's name for it is "misc RNA ENSBTSG00005033399.1". Lineage: Eukaryota; Metazoa; Arthropoda; Insecta; Hymenoptera; Apidae. The record is from RNAcentral.
AAUACGUACAAAAGUGCGAAACGUUAUAUCGGAAGACGAGAAAAAAUUCGCAUAUCAGCGUAAUAGUUAACUGUCAAUACUCCAUUUCAACAUAUUCACCGUUCCUGUCAAUCUGAAGUUAUCCACGCAUAAAAUCCCAAUGGUGUAAAAUUGAAGAUCCAAGUAUCCUUCUCUUUGUAUUUCGCACGCUUGUUGUAACUUUCAACGAAUUUUUUAAUCAUCUACGUUCAAGUAACGUUUAUCGCUAAAUUACUAUAUCCAAUAGGAUAUGCUGAGAAUAAGUUGAGCUCUUAAAUCCUGGGACACCCGAU